GCCCGCGUCGGAUUAGCUAGUUGGCAGGGUAAAAGCCUACCAAGGCAUAGAUCGGUAGCCGGCCUGAGAGGGCACACGGCCACACUGGCACUGAAACACGGGCCAGACUCCUACGGGAGGCAGCAGUGGGGAAUCUUGCACAAUGGGGGCAACCCUGAUGCAGCGACGCCGCGUGAGCGAUGAAGCCCUUCGGGGUGUAAAGCUCUUUCGUCAGGGAAGAUAAUGACGGUACCUGGAGAAGCAGCUGCGGCUAACUACGUGCCAGCAGCCGCGGUAAUACGUAGGCAGCGAGCGUUGUUCGGAGUUACUGGGCGUAAAGGGUGUGUAGGCGGUUGUUUAAGUUUGGUGUGAAAUCUCCCGGCUCAACUGGGAGGGUGCGCCGAAUACUGAAUGACUAGAGUGCGGGAGAGGAAAGUGGAAUUCCUGGUGUAGCGGUGAAAUGCGUAGAUAUCAGGAGGAACACCGGUGGUGUAGACGGCUUUCUGGACCGUAACUGACGCUGAAACACGAAAGCGUGGGUAGCAAACAGGAUUAGAUACCCUGGUAGUCCACGCCCUAAACGAUGCAUAUUUGGUGCGGGCAGUUCAUUCUGUCCGUGCCGGAGCUAACGCGUUAAAUAUGCCGCCUGGGGAGUACAGUCGCAAGGCUGAA
RNAcentral lists this ribosomal RNA (651 nucleotides) under uncultured bacterium. Its description in RNAcentral is "bacterial SSU rRNA". It matches the Rfam family "Bacterial small subunit ribosomal RNA", at positions 229 to 898 of the family's 1533-position model. The record is from RNAcentral.